RNA transcript from Diceros bicornis minor, 5535 nucleotides. It is a transcript of the gene named sterile alpha motif domain containing 4A, with no coding region annotated. The record is from RefSeq and is a predicted model, not a curated record. The transcript has 14 exons. Lineage: Eukaryota; Metazoa; Chordata; Mammalia; Perissodactyla; Rhinocerotidae.
GACUGAGCGGACGGCAGGGGCAGGAGCCCGGGCCGAGCCUGCAGCGCCCAGCGGCCCGGGACGGGACGCGCGGCCGCGGGCUGCGGCGCCGCCGAACUUCGGGGCGGGCGGGGGGCCGGCGCCGGGGGCUCUGCAGAGCGGGGGCCGCCCCCGCACCAUGAUGUUCCGCGACCAGGUCGGGGUGCUGGCGGGCUGGUUCAAGGGCUGGAACGAGUGCGAGCAGACCGUGGCGCUGCUGUCGCUGCUCAAGCGCGUGAGCCAGACGCAGGCCCGCUUCCUGCAGCUCUGCCUGGAGCACUCGCUGGCCGACUGCGCCGAGCUGCACGUCCUCGAGGGCGAGGCCAACAGCCCCGGGCAUAGGUCCAAAUUUGAAGCAGAUGGCGGAAAAGAUGGAUGGCUACCGAGAUCUCCAGGAAUCAUUAACCAAUGGCAACAGGAAUCCAAGGAUAAAGUGAUUUCCCUCCUGUUAACUCACCUGCCUUUGCUGAAGCCAGGGAACCUCGACGCUAAAGCAGAGUAUAUGAAACUGCUGCCCCAAAUCCUGGCGCACUCUAUUGAGCACAACCAGCACAUCGAGGAGAGCAGGCAGCUGCUAUCCUACGCUCUGAUCCACCCGGCCACAUCGCUGGAGGACCGCAGCGCAUUAGCCAUGUGGCUGAAUCACUUGGAGGACCGCACAUCGACCAGCUUUGGCGGCCAGAACCGAGGCCGCUCAGACUCUGUGGAUUAUGGGCAGACGCACUACUAUCACCAAAGACAGAACUCCGAUGACAAGCUCAACGGGUGGCAGAACUCUCGGGAUUCUGGGAUUUGCAUCAACGCCUCUAACUGGCAGGACAAAAGCCUGGGGUGUGAGAACGGCCAUGUGCCCCUCUACUCCUCCUCAUCCGUCCCCACCACAAUCAACACCAUCGGAACCAGCACAAGUACAAUUCUCUCAGGCCAGGCACACCACAGCCCUUUGAAACGAUCUGUGUCCCUUACCCCACCCAUGAAUGUGCCAAACCAGCCUCUAGGACAUGGAUGGAUGUCUCAUGAGGACUUACGAGCUAGAGGACCCCAGUGCCUCCCAUCCGAUCAUGCCCCCCUGUCUCCACAAAGCAGUGUAGCCUCUUCAGGAAGUGGUGGGAGUGAACACUUAGAAGAUCAGACCACUGCUCGUAACACAUUCCAAGAAGAAGGUAGUGGUAUGAAAGAUGUUCCAGCCUGGUUAAAAAGCCUCCGUCUGCACAAGUAUGCUGCACUUUUCUCCCAGAUGACCUAUGAGGAAAUGAUGGCCCUCACUGAGUGCCAGCUGGAGGCUCAGAAUGUUACCAAAGGUGCAAGACACAAAAUUGUCAUCAGUAUUCAGAAGCUCAAAGAAAGACAAAACCUCCUGAAGUCUUUGGAAAGGGACAUCAUUGAGGGGGGCAGCCUGCGCAUCCCACUCCAGGAACUGCACCAGAUGAUCCUGACUCCCAUCAAGGCCUACAGCUCCCCGAGCGCCACACCCGAGGCUCACCGCCGGGAGACCCAGGCCUCGCACCCGCCCUUGCUGAUGGGCCCCGAGAGCCAGAGCCCCGACUGCAAAGACAGUGCUGUGGCCACUGGCGGCACGGCCACCACGCCAGCUGGGGCCAGCGGCGGGAUCCAGCCACGCCCGCUGAGCAGCUGCGAUGGGGAACUGGCCGUCGCUCCCCUGCCGGAGGGAGAUCUCCCCGGGCAGUUCACACGUGUCAUGGGGAAAGUGUGCACACAGCUCUUGGUCUCCAGACCUGAUGAGGAGAAUAUAAGUUCCUAUUUACAGCUCAUAGACAAGUGUCUAAUUCAUGAACACGUGGACCACAGUUCCAGGCCCUUGAGAGGGGAUUCCAUAUCGCAUGAGCAGCCUCGCCGUCUCGAGUACUACAUGUCUGUGUUCACUUGCAGCGGAAUUACCAGGGCACCGGCUACAACCGCAAACUCCCUAGACUCCUCUCCAGAUCUGUUAAAACAGGCUCCGGGCAUUUACAGAGACACAGAAAAAAAGAUUGUUGUCAUGGAAACAGCAGGUGCAGAAGCUCUUCCGGUCUUUCCCUCGGAAAACCCUUCUAGACAUAUCAGGAUAUCGACAGCAAAGAAACCGCGGCUUCGGGCAGUCCAACUCCCUCCCGACGGCCGGCUCUGUGGGCAGUGGCAUGGGCAGGCGGAACCCACGCCAGUACCAGGUCCCCUCUCGGAACGUCCCUUCCACCCGCAUCGGCCUCCUGGGCACCAGUGGAUUCGUCAGCUCCACCCAGCGCAACACCACAGCCAACCCCACCAUCAUGAAGCAAGGAAGACAGAACCUCUGGUUUGCCAAUCCCGGGGGCAGCAACAGCAUGCCCAGCCGCACACACAGCGCAGUGCAGAGGACCCGCUCGCUGCCCGUGCACACUUCUCCACAGAACGUGCUGAUGUUCCAGCCGCCAGAGUUCCAGCUGCCCAUGCCUGACCCUGACAUCAACAACAGGCUGGAGUCCCUGUGCCUCAGUAUGACCGAGCACGCCCUGGGAGACGGGGUUGACCGGACCUCCACAAUCUAGAAGCUGAAGAUGAGAGCGACCGCGCUGGCCGUGAAAUCGACUGCUGCGGGUCCAGUGUCAGCCAUCUGCAGGGCUGCACAGAAUCCUCCAAAUACUUUGCAGCCUUUUUUCCCCUGGUCCCUCUCCCAUUUUGAUUUUGUGAGAGCGUAGGUCGUCCUUGUAAACAUAUCAGUAGCCCUGGGCUUGGUUAUUUUGUCAUUUGUUUCUGUCAUGGGAUGGCUUGGUGUGGGGGUGGGGAGGGGUCUCUAAGGAAACCUGAGACUGGGGUGGGGUGGAGAGUAUGCAAGUGGCUUCCUGGAUGAAAAGGAGGAGAAAAAGAGUACAGCCAUGAAGGAGGUGAGACACCGCAGGGAGGCAGAGCCCAGCCCUGGAGCCUUCUGGAACCCGUCCUGCUCCUCGCAGUCAGGUGAGGGAGGAAGUCAUGGAUACGUGCGACCAAAGCAAGACGGUGGCUCCCCUUUUCUGUCCCCUGAUUGGGGUCCCCGAGGCCCCUGCCUGGAUGAGAGGCCACGUGGCAAGUGGGGAGAAAAGAGAAAGUGCCCCUGACACAAUUUCAGAUAAACUUUGAUUUGUGUAUUGUUUACAUAACGAUUUUAAAGGGUACAUAAUUCGUAAAGAGUUUGGAUAGAACUUCUCUUCCUACUAUGGUUUUUGUAAAGGAUUUGUUGAUAUGAAUUCACUUUUUCCUCUAUUUUUAUACUAGCAGCAGGGUUGUCUUUUCAAAUGGCUGCCAAGCUCUGCUUCCCGGAGAGGCACAGGCCAACCGGCUUUCACCUGUGGGGGGAGCAUGUGGGUGGACUUGAAGGACAAAGAUGUGGCUGGAUGGGCACAAGGAGACAGCACCAUGUGGUCAGUUAGGGUUUGCUCACAGGUCACCUAGAGGUCCUAGAAGAAUGCUGCAGCCCCUUUCUGUGCUGGAUUUGCUUCUCACCCAGGGACCUCUCCUCCUCACCCUCCAUGGGUGUCAUCCCAGCAACCCCGGCCUCGCCCCCCACACCCAGCUGGGACAAGGACCACUGGAGGAGAAGAGGCAAGGACCCACGUUUUUCCCUUGCCAGAGGCCUUAAUACCCAGAUGAGGAGCUCAGAACAUGCUUACAGUGCAGUUCUGCAGGAACCUGAGCCUGGGGCUGCACCCCCUUGGCUGGCUCCCUGCUGAGGACAAGGAGGAGAGCAGGGCCCAGCAACCGUGCAUAAACGUCAGUCAGCAAGUGGCAGAGAGAGCUGCGGGGAGACGCGUGGCCCAGGUGGGCAGUGAAAGAAGAUGCGUGAAGGGUCAACUUCGUGAUGGAAAGGACGGUUCCGUCCACAUGUAUAGUCAGGGACUGGCUGUGUCUAUCCAUCCACACAGAAGGUUACGUGGUGAGAGACUCACAGCCUAUGCUACCACAAAGUAACGGUUCUAUUUCUUAAGGGCAAGAAAGACUGUGUUUCGGAAUUAGAUGCAACGGAGGCUAUUAGAGGAAAUCAAAGGGGAGUUGUGCUCUGCACUGGAAAAUUGGGUUGUGUGAAAGAUGGUGUGAAUGCUCAGCCAGAGGCAAGAGCAAGGAGAUGGUAUAAGGCCUGUUUAUUCAAUGGGUGAGUCUGGUGCCAUUUUUGUAUUUAGCGAAGACAGAGUUGAAAUUGAAGAGAUCAGACCAUGAAAAUCACUGCACAUUUAUGUUUUUUUUUAAGUUAAUGAAGUAAAUACAGAUUUAAAAGGCCUUAAUGAGGGGGCCGGCCUGGUGGUAUAGCGGUUGGGUUCGUACCUUCUGCUUCGGCAGUGCGAGGUUCGCCAGUUCAGGGUUCACCAGUUCGGAUCCUGUGCGUGGACCUACUCACCGCUUAUCAAGCCAUGCUGAGACAGCGCCCCCCAUAGAAGAACUAGAAGAAUCUGCAACUAGGAUAUGCAACUAUGUACUGGGGCUUUGGGGAGAAGAAAAAAAGGCCUUAAUGAAAUCCAAACAACUUUCUUUUACCUUCAGGAUUAAAAAUGUACACCCAAUGCAGCACUGGACAUUGUAACAAGGCUUUUGAAGUUUUUUUAAGGUCUAAAAAGGUGGGAGCAUCUUAACUGUAGAGAGCAUGUAGCAAGCAAAGAAGGCUUGAACCCACAGUGUCAUGUAUUGCAUAAAAACAAGAGACCUCUCCUUGGGUGACUGCAUUCUAAAGAUGCGAAUCCCUAUACAGAAGGAGGCAGCAUUUUUUAGUUGAUUUGUUUGAAUCAAGUGCCAUUAACAUUCGCCGUCCACACCCCUUUUCUAAACCAGCUUAGUGUCACUUGGGGACUGUGUUGGGAUGGAUGAUCACUGUGAGGUGGGAAGCACAGGGCAAAGAGGUGGAAGGCCAAAGGUAAGAGCAGAGGGUUUGCGAAGGUGUUUUUUGUAUGCUAAGAAAGUUAAUAAAGAGAAGAAAAAACAAUGCUAUUACAUAUCUUAUAGAGAAAGGAGAAAACCUUCAGAUCUGCUGCAAAAUAGAUGUAUCCAUAAAGACUCGGGUUGUUCAGAAAACAGAUUGUGGACACAAUCUGUUAGCAUGAAUCCUUUAAAAGGAAGAAUACCUUAAAGUAUUUGCAAAUCUGAAUUUCUAUUUAUUCCUUCACUGAAUAUAGAAACAAUGGUUAUCUGAUUAUUAGAGAUAUUAUUUUGGAUAUGUUACUUAUUAACUUGCUAUGGCUGGUAACCAUGAUAAAGUCUGUUAUUAAUAACAAUAUAAUUCUUUUUUUUUAAAAAAGAAAAGCUUAUUUUUCAUUGACCAUGUAUAGAUUUAUCUACUUAGUUGUGUUUUGCUACUAGUGUUUUAUUUUUUUUUUAAGUUGACUGUUCCGAUAAAUUUUAGGAGCCGCUCCCCACCUUGUUUUGAGUCCUGUGUUGACUGCAGGUAUACAGCUCAAUUUAAAAAUCCUAAAGCAAAAGAAUUUUAUUUAUAAAAGAAUCAAACAGUUGCAUGCAUAAGGCUGUGAAGUCAGAUACUGAGUAAUAAAGCAGCAGUGCCUUUUUUUGUAUUUACCCGUU